This 286-nucleotide long non-coding RNA is filed under the name Nicotiana benthamiana. RNAcentral describes it as "long non-coding RNA (NBEN_LNC015060)". Lineage: Eukaryota; Viridiplantae; Streptophyta; Magnoliopsida; Solanales; Solanaceae. The record is from RNAcentral.
AGGGACUACUAUCACAAGUCUCAGUUUAAAACAUUCAAAGGUUUUUUUUCUGCUUUUGAGGUCUUUAGUAGUUCUUCUUUUACUUCUUUGCUCUUAUACAUUAAAACUAAAAGAUCAUGGCAAUUCUUCGUAUAAUCAAGAAGUCUUCCACAAGUGGAGAUGUUCGUACAUUAAAACUAAAAGAUUAUGGCAAUUCUUCGUAUAAUCAAGAAGUCUUCCACACGUGGAGAUGUUCCCAAAGGCCAUUUUGCUGUGUAUGUUGGGGAGAAGCAGAAGAAGAGAUUUG